GCCACACUGGGACUGAGACACGGCCCAGACUCCUACGGGAGGCAGCAGUGGGGAAUAUUGCACAAUGGGCGCAAGCCUGAUGCAGCAACGCCGCGUGAGGGAUGACGGCCUUCGGGUUGUAAACCUCUUUUAGCAGGGAAGAAGCGAAAGUGACGGUACCUGCAGAAAAAGCGCCGGCUAACUACGUGCCAGCAGCCGCGGUAAUACGUAGGGCGCAAGCGUUAUCCGGAAUUAUUGGGCGUAAAGAGCUCGUAGGCGGUUUGUCGCGUCUGCUGUGAAAUCCGGAGGCUCAACCUCCGGCCUGCAGUGGGUACGGGCAGACUAGAGUGCGGUAGGGGAGAUUGGAAUUCCUGGUGUAGCGGUGGAAUGCGCAGAUAUCAGGAGGAACACCGAUGGCGAAGGCAGAUCUCUGGGCCGUAACUGACGCUGAGGAGCGAAAGGGUGGGGAGCAAACAGGCUUAGAUACCCUGGUAGUCCACCCCGUAAACGUUGGGAACUAGUUGUGGGGUCCAUUCCACGGAUUCCGUGACGCAGCUAACGCAUUAAGUUCCCCGCCUGGGGAGUACGGCCGCAAGGCUAAAACUCAAAGGAAUUGACGGGGACCCGCACAAGCGGCGGAGCAUGCGGAUUAAUUCGAUGCAACGCGAAGAACCUUACCAAGGCUUGACAUAUACGAGAACGGGCCAGAAAUGGUCAACUC
This 700-nucleotide ribosomal RNA is filed under the name Microbacterium hydrocarbonoxydans. RNAcentral's name for it is "bacterial SSU rRNA". It matches the Rfam family "Bacterial small subunit ribosomal RNA", at positions 307 to 1016 of the family's 1533-position model. Lineage: Bacteria; Bacillati; Actinomycetota; Actinomycetes; Micrococcales; Microbacteriaceae. The record is from RNAcentral.